UACGGAGGGGGCUAGCGUUGUUCGGAAUUACUGGGCGUAAAGCGCGCGUAGGCGGACCUGCAAGUCGGGGGUGAAAUCCUGGAGCUCAACUCCAGAACUGCCUUCGAUACUGGGAAACUUGAGUUCGGGAGAGGUGAGUGGAACUGCGAGUGUAGAGGUGAAAUUCGUAGAUAUUCGCAAGAACACCAGUGGCGAAGGCAGCUCACUGGCCCGAUACUGACGCUGAGGUGCGAAAGCGUGGGGAGCAAACAGG
This 253-nucleotide ribosomal RNA is filed under the name uncultured bacterium. RNAcentral's name for it is "partial 16S ribosomal RNA". It matches the Rfam family "Bacterial small subunit ribosomal RNA", at positions 524 to 776 of the family's 1533-position model. The record is from RNAcentral.